CAAUACAUACCGUGAUUUGCGGGGUGCCCGUCGUUUUCAGACCUUUCUUGUGGGGCCUAUAUUUAAUAUGGGAUCUAUAUAAGAACCCGCAAAAUAUGUGCGCCUUAAAUGUGUUAACUUUCAUACUGGAAGCAUCCUAUAGCAAUUACGCGCAAGUCGGUCUUAAAUUGAAAUUAAAAUAGAGUUGUCUCCCCUACUCCAGGUCAGUAAAGAACCCAUCUCUACAUCAUCUAGACGCUUGCACAUUGUGUCACACCGGUCUUACUGACGUCACCAUUUAUGUAUAGAAUGGACGCUUGCAUAGAACCCGCAAUUUUAUGUAUGCCCCGCAGUUAAAGCGCGUGAAGUGAUAUAGAACACGAAGAUCAGAAAAUGGCGGCAGUUAACGGGUGUUACAUGUGAUAUUGAAAAUUAAUAGAUCUACAGUACUCAGUAAUGAUGUAUUUCAAGGAAAUGAGACCAAGAAGAAAGAAACAGGAGAAUGUGGCAGCAGACUGCAUUGAUUCAGGGGAGGACCUCAAAGAUUUUGUUAUUGAACAUAUACCACCAAAAGGUCUUGGUGUUAGAACAACAAUAAAUAGAACAAAAGGAGAUUUCUUAAUGAUUUAUUCC
Dreissena polymorpha is the source of this 612-nucleotide long non-coding RNA. RefSeq lists it as uncharacterized. The transcript has 3 exons. The record is from RefSeq and is a predicted model, not a curated record. Lineage: Eukaryota; Metazoa; Mollusca; Bivalvia; Myida; Dreissenidae.